Molecule: long non-coding RNA, 310 nt
Filed under: Capsella rubella
Lineage: Eukaryota; Viridiplantae; Streptophyta; Magnoliopsida; Brassicales; Brassicaceae
Description: long non-coding RNA (CRUB_LNC000380)
Source: RNAcentral
UAUUUCUAAAAAAUUCUCUAGUUUCUAUGGAUUGGGUAAGUUGAUAAUAUAAUUAUGACAUAACAAUUUUCAAACUUAAUUAUGAAUUUGAUGAAUCGAUGUUAAAAAAAAACCAAUUAAAUUAGCCAUACAUGAAAAAUACAAGAUAAUUUUCUUAUAUUACAAAUUAUAAAUUUAUUUAUUUUUAAAAAAAAAUAAAAAUCUAAGAUACCCAACUUAAGAUCCUACCAAUAAACACAUCUCAAAACUAAAAAAAAAAACUAAAACUCUUAAACUCUACUUUUUCAAAAUUUAUACUAAAUUAAUGCUA